Molecule: ribosomal RNA, 702 nt
Filed under: Shigella flexneri
Lineage: Bacteria; Pseudomonadati; Pseudomonadota; Gammaproteobacteria; Enterobacterales; Enterobacteriaceae
Description: bacterial SSU rRNA
Rfam family: Bacterial small subunit ribosomal RNA
Source: RNAcentral
AAAUUGAAGAGUUUGAUCAUGGCUCAGAUUGAACGCUGGCGGCAGGCCUAACACAUGCAAGUCGAACGGUAACAGGAAACAGCUUGCUGUUUCGCUGACGAGUGGCGGACGGGUGAGUAAUGUCUGGGAAACUGCCCGAUGGAGGGGGAUAACUACUGGAAACGGUAGCUAAUACCGCAUAACGUCGCAAGACCAAAGAGGGGGACCUUCGGGCCUCUUGCUAUCGGAUGUGCCCAGAUGGGAUUAGCUAGUAGGUGGGGUAACGGCUCACCUAGGCGACGAUCCCUAGCUGGUCUGAGAGGAUGACCAGCCACACUGGAACUGAGACACGGUCCAGACUCCUACGGGAGGCAGCAGUGGGGAAUAUUGCACAAUGGGCGCAAGCCUGAUGCAGCCAUGCCGCGUGUAUGAAGAAGGCCUUCGGGUUGUAAAGUACUUUCAGCGGGGAGGAAAGGAGUAAAGUUAAUACCUUUGCUCAUUGACGUUACCCGCAGAAGAAGCACCGGCUAACUCCGUGCCAGCAGCCGCGGUAAUACGGAGGGUGCAAGCGUUAAUCGGAAUUACUGGGCGUAAAGCGCACGCAGGCGGUUUGUUAAGUCAGAUGUGAAAUCCCCGGGCUCAACCUGGGAACUGCAUCUGAUACUGGCAAGCUUGAGUCUCGUAGAGGGGGGUAGAAUUCCAGGUGUAGCGGUGAAAUGCGUA